ACCAGUGUGGCAUAGUGGUUUGAGUGCUGGACUCUGGAGACCUGGGUUCGAAUCCCUGCUUGGUC
This 65-nucleotide transfer RNA is filed under the name Phrynosoma platyrhinos (Desert horned lizard). Its description in RNAcentral is "tRNA-OTHER". The record is from RNAcentral. Lineage: Eukaryota; Metazoa; Chordata; Lepidosauria; Squamata; Phrynosomatidae.